This 1508-nucleotide ribosomal RNA is filed under the name Helicobacter pylori. RNAcentral describes it as "bacterial SSU rRNA". It matches the Rfam family "Bacterial small subunit ribosomal RNA". Lineage: Bacteria; Pseudomonadati; Campylobacterota; Epsilonproteobacteria; Campylobacterales; Helicobacteraceae. The record is from RNAcentral.
UUUAUGGAGAGUUUGAUCCUGGCUCAGAGUGAACGCUGGCGGCGUGCCUAAUACAUGCAAGUCGAACGAUGAAGCUUCUAGCUUGCUAGAAGUGGAUUAGUGGCGCACGGGUGAGUAACGCAUAGGUUAUGUGCCUCUUAGUUUGGGAUAGCCAUUGGAAACGAUGAUUAAUACCAGAUACUCCCUACGGGGGAAAGAUUUAUCGCUAAGAGAUCAGCCUAUGUCCUAUCAGCUUGUUGGUAAGGUAAUGGCUUACCAAGGCUAUGACGGGUAUCCGGCCUGAGAGGGUGAACGGACACACUGGAACUGAGACACGGUCCAGACUCCUACGGGAGGCAGCAGUAGGGAAUAUUGCUCAAUGGGGGAAACCCUGAAGCAGCAACGCCGCGUGGAGGAUGAAGGUUUUAGGAUUGUAAACUCCUUUUGUUAGAGAAGAUAAUGACGGUAUCUAACGAAUAAGCACCGGCUAACUCCGUGCCAGCAGCCGCGGUAAUACGGAGGGUGCAAGCGUUACUCGGAAUCACUGGGCGUAAAGAGCGCGUAGGCGGGAUAGUCAGUCAGGUGUGAAAUCCUAUGGCUUAACCAUAGAACUGCAUUUGAAACUACUAUUCUAGAGUGUGGGAGAGGUAGGUGGAAUUCUUGGUGUAGGGGUAAAAUCCGUAGAGAUCAAGAGGAAUACUCAUUGCGAAGGCGACCUGCUGGAACAUUACUGACGCUGAUUGCGCGAAAGCGUGGGGAGCAAACAGGAUUAGAUACCCUGGUAGUCCACGCCCUAAACGAUGGAUGCUAGUUGUUGGAGGGCUUAGUCUCUCCAGUAAUGCAGCUAACGCAUUAAGCAUCCCGCCUGGGGAGUACGGUCGCAAGAUUAAAACUCAAAGGAAUAGACGGGGACCCGCACAAGCGGUGGAGCAUGUGGUUUAAUUCGAAGAUACACGAAGAACCUUACCUAGGCUUGACAUUGAGAGAAUCCGCUAGAAAUAGUGGAGUGUCUAGCUUGCUAGACCUUGAAAACAGGUGCUGCACGGCUGUCGUCAGCUCGUGUCGUGAGAUGUUGGGUUAAGUCCCGCAACGAGCGCAACCCCCUUUCUUAGUUGCUAACAGGUCAUGCUGAGAACUCUAAGGAUACUGCCUCCGUAAGGAGGAGGAAGGUGGGGACGACGUCAAGUCAUCAUGGCCCUUACGCCUAGGGCUACACACGUGCUACAAUGGGGUGCACAAAGAGAAGCAAUACUGCGAAGUGGAGCCAAUCUUCAAAACGCCUCUCAGUUCGGAUUGUAGGCUGCAACUCGCCUGCAUGAAGCUGGAAUCGCUAGUAAUCGCAAAUCAGCCAUGUUGCGGUGAAUACGUUCCCGGGUCUUGUACUCACCGCCCGUCACACCAUGGGAGUUGUGUUUGCCUUAAGUCAGGAUGCUAAAUUGGCUACUGCCCACGGCACACACAGCGACUGGGGUGAAGUCGUAACAAGGUAACCGUAGGUGAACCUGCGGUUGGAUCACCUCCUUUCUAGA